AAUUUUUGACAAUGGGCGCAAGCCUGAUCCAGCCAUGCCGCGUGAGUGAAGAAGGCCUCCGGGUUGUAUAGCUCUUUCGUGCGGCAGGGAAGUGAGCAGGCUAAUACCGUGCGCGGAGGACGGUACCGUCAUAAGAAUCGCACGCUACCUACGUGCAAGCAGUCUCGGUAAUACGGAGGGUGCGAGCGUUAAUCGGAUUUACUGUGCGUAAAGCGUGCGCAGGCGGUUGAUUAAGACAGGCGUGAAAUCCCCGGGCUUAACCUGGGAACUGCGCUUGUGACUGGUCAGCUAGAGUACGGCAGAGGGGGGUGGAAUUCCACGUGUAGCAGUGAAAUGCGUAGAGAUGUGGAGGAACACCGAUGGCGAAGGCAGCCCCCUGGGCCGAUACUGACGCUCAUGCACGAAAGCGUGGGUAGCAAACAGG
Molecule: ribosomal RNA, 424 nt
Filed under: uncultured bacterium
Lineage: Bacteria
Description: partial 16S ribosomal RNA
Rfam family: Bacterial small subunit ribosomal RNA
Source: RNAcentral